RNAcentral lists this long non-coding RNA (1647 nucleotides) under Nicotiana benthamiana. Its description in RNAcentral is "long non-coding RNA (NBEN_LNC024213)". Lineage: Eukaryota; Viridiplantae; Streptophyta; Magnoliopsida; Solanales; Solanaceae. The record is from RNAcentral.
CUGAAUAUAGUUAAAUUCACCUAUUAUCAACACCCCACACUUAAACCUUUGCUCGUCCUCGAGUAAGCUAAACCACACUUCUGGGCCUAACCAUUUGAUGCAUUCCCCAAGUAUGCCACACACGCCAUUUUGACGAAACAACCUAAGCAAUGCUACAGUCAUACCCCAGAUGCAUACUCUACUGCCAUGACAACCCGCGCUCACUCUAGUUACUCUAAUAGAGGUGAAGACUUACUUUUCUUUCCUGAAUCACAUGCCUCACAUCAAAAGUCUUAGAGAGGUUCCACACACAUAAAAUUCAAGCAACACGGAAGAUAGAAAGAAUUCACUCACUCUCCGCAAAGAACAUUCACAUGCCACACAGAUACACCAUAAGCUUGCCCCUAGUGUAGUACUCGACUAAUCGAACUGUUUUAAUCAAAGUUCUAGAGAUAUUUAUUUGGUUGUAAUGUAGGCUAAGGGACGUGUAUGAUACAUUUGGAUGUAGUAACUAACCUCCCUAAGCACUUUUAAUACACACUUCCUUUUAUCUCAAUUUACCUGCUCAGUCUAAUCAUUCCUCCAUAUUUUUGUUUCACAGGUAACCCCUACUUUCCUUUAGGUGCAACUGGCUUCUUGUUUUCUCUUCUUCUUUUUUCUUUAUUUUGUUUUGUUUUCUUUGCCCCGUUUUUUUUCCUUUUAUAAUUCCAGUGCACCAUUCAAAUGAUUCCUUCCUGAUUCCCCUUUUUCGCUAAUUCCCUACGACCCCACACUUUGUCUUUUGUAUGUUGUUCAGUGAUUCAAGUGCUUCUAGGAGGUACAGGUUUAAGCAAUCAGCUAUUCAAACACAAGGAUAUAUGUCAUAAUAGGGUUAUCAAAGAACAGGCUUCAGGCUUAAAGGGGUUGACUAUGGCAAUAUAGACAUGUGGAUUCACAAUUAUAUAUAUAGGCUUACACAAAGAAAUGCCUCAAUCAUCUCUAAAACCAAAAAAUCCACAAUUAUAGAUUCCUUUUAUACUUAUAUAUAUAUAUAUGUAUGUAUAGGCUUACACAAAGAAAUGCCUCAAUCAUCUCUAAAACCAAACAUCUUCUAUUUCGCUUUGCAAACACACAAGGCAAGUUCUAGGUAUCACAUGCAAGGAUAGAAUGCAAGUAAAAUCUCACACACACUUAGCAUGUAACUCGUUCUGAAUCAGUUUAUCAACACACUUAUACGAGUGUUCAAGCAAGGCAAGAUGUGCAAAAUUAAGGCGUAGAUUUACAAGUCUACAACUGAGCCUAGACGUCACACUCUCAAGUUCAUUUUAGUUGUUUGCAGGUGUGUACAUCAAGGGUAGCAUUCUAGCCUUUACCCAUCUUAGUCCUACAACUACAAAAGAAAAUUCUACCUAAUCUGGUUCAAGAAAAACCCUUGGAAAAGAACCGUGGUCAAAGGAAAAACCAAGGGGUACUUAAUACACUACCUAAAAAGGAAAACUAUAAAUAAAAAGAUCUACAUGGGCUACUUCUCUCAAGAGUACUAUCCAAGUGGUCCGUCCUCAGGAAGAGUCCUCUACCUUUAUUUUUGUUUUCAUUUUUGUAUUUUUUUUAUGUAUCCGACUUGGACCCUCAAGAGACUCAUCGACAAGUGUUCGUCGUUGGGCAAAGCCAGGUACUCCUAAUAUAUCU